GAUGAGCCUGCAUGAUAUGGUGUAAUCUAAUCAGGCUGUCUUCACACUGGAAACCUGGUCUCCACCGAGUGGUCAGGCCCAGGCCACCUGCAGAAGGAGCCCUUAGAUGUUUAGCUCUGUGGUUUGCAGGACCUUGAAACUAUAGGACCAGCUUGUGGUAGCAUUGGUGACCAAGAGAGUCUCUCCAGGGAGAGAAUGUACAUGCAUCGUCCAUAAGCCAUCCCCACAAUACAUCCUGAGGAUCUGGAUAUCCCUUGUGUCCCAUCUGUGGAAGGUUUGGUUCCCCAGUAGAACCACCAUGAGGAAUAACAGGUAGGACCUAAUAGAGGGGAUGGGGUUGGGGACAUGCCCUUGAUGGUGGCUGUGGGACCUAGCUCCUUCCUCCUGUUUUUGCUCCCAGGCUUGGGAAGAGCUUAGUGGUUUGCUCUGCCAUAAAACCCAACAUGAUGUGCUGCCUUGCCCUAAGCCCAAAUCAGCCUAGCUGUCCAACCAUGGGCCUCCAAACCUGGGACCCCAAACAAACCUCUCCUUAUAAGUUGAUUAUCUCAGGUAUUGGUCAUAGUGACAGAAAG
This 572-nucleotide long non-coding RNA is filed under the name Cricetulus griseus (Chinese hamster). RNAcentral describes it as "lncRNA (ENSCGRG00015037499.1)". The record is from RNAcentral. Lineage: Eukaryota; Metazoa; Chordata; Mammalia; Rodentia; Cricetidae.